This 465-nucleotide ribosomal RNA is filed under the name Vreelandella stevensii. RNAcentral describes it as "partial 16S ribosomal RNA". It matches the Rfam family "Bacterial small subunit ribosomal RNA", at positions 338 to 795 of the family's 1533-position model. The record is from RNAcentral. Lineage: Bacteria; Pseudomonadati; Pseudomonadota; Gammaproteobacteria; Oceanospirillales; Halomonadaceae.
CCUACGGGGGGCUGCAGUGGGGAAUAUUGGACAAUGGGGGGAACCCUGAUCCAGCCAUGCCGCGUGUGUGAAGAAGGCCCUCGGGUUGUAAAGCACUUUCAGUGAGGAAGAACGCCUGGUGGUUAAUACCCAUCAGGAAAGACAUCACUCACAGAAGAAGCACCGGCUAACUCCGUGCCAGCAGCCGCGGUAAUACGGAGGGUGCGAGCGUUAAUCGGAAUUACUGGGCGUAAAGCGCGCGUAGGUGGCUUGAUAAGCCGGUUGUGAAAGCCCCGGGCUCAACCUGGGAACGGCAUCCGGAACUGUCAAGCUAGAGUGCAGGCGAGGAAGGUAGAAUUCCCGGUGUAGCGGUGAAAUGCGUAGAGAUCGGGAGGAAUACCAGUGGCGAAGGCGGCCUUCUGGACUGACACUGACACUGAGGUGCGAAAGCGUGGGUAGCAAACAGGAUUAGAUACCCCGGUAGUC